RNAcentral lists this ribosomal RNA (450 nucleotides) under uncultured bacterium. RNAcentral's name for it is "bacterial SSU rRNA". It matches the Rfam family "Bacterial small subunit ribosomal RNA", at positions 354 to 796 of the family's 1533-position model. The record is from RNAcentral.
GUGGGGAAUUUUGGACAAUGGGCGCAAGCCUGAUCCAGCCAUGCCGCGUGAGUGAAGAAGGCCUUCGGGUUGUAAAGCUCUUUCAGCCGGAAAGAAAUCGCACUGGUUAAUACCUUGUGUGGAUGACGGUACCGGAAGAAGAAGCACCGGCUAACUACGUGCCAGCAGCCGCGGUAAUACGUAGGGUGCGAGCGUUAAUCGGAAUUACUGGGCGUAAAGCGUGCGCAGGCGGUUUUGUAAGACAGAUGUGAAAUCCCCGGGCUUAACCUGGGAACUGCAUUUGUGACUGCAAGGCUAGAGUAUGGCAGAGGGGGGUAGAAUUCCACGUGUAGCAGUGAAAUGCGUAGAUAUGUGGAGGAAUACCGAUGGCGAAGGCAGCCCCCUGGGUCAAUACUGACGCUCAUGCACGAAAGCGUGGGGAGCAAACAGGAUUAGAAACCCCGGUAGUCC